GGCCCAGCUUGGCGUAAUGGUUUGAGUGUUGGAUUGUAAUUCCAGAAACCAGGGUUCAAUUCCCCACUCAGCCA
This is a non-coding RNA of Phrynosoma platyrhinos (Desert horned lizard), 74 nucleotides long. The record is from the annotation of a GenBank genome assembly. Lineage: Eukaryota; Metazoa; Chordata; Lepidosauria; Squamata; Phrynosomatidae.